ACAUUUAUCGUGGACUUUAUUUCUUAUUAUUACAUUAGGCAUAGAUCCCAGAGGCUGGGGAUGCCUGCUCUAGGACAAAGAGGCUGUAGGACAAACCGAACCAUAAUUUGGUUUAGGGAUGCACUAGCCGCCUUGGGGCUCCCAAGACUCAAGUGGAGGUUAUUGGGGGUUCUGGAAAUGAAACUUGUUGACUCUGCCAAUGAUGCUACCAGAAAUGCUCCUUCCUGUCUUUGGGCUGAUGAAUUAAUAUUGGGGUGAAACUUGGAACUCUGUAGAAAGUCUGCUUCAACCUGAAGGCAGAGUCGAAAUAGGACAAGAAGCCUUUGAUGUAAUCCUCAGGGUGUAUUUCACAGCUGGUUUGAUUCAGCAGAUCAUUUCUCAACCUUCUUGUUAAUGAGCAAACAAGCUUCAUUAAAGCCACGUUGAGCUGGGUUUCUCUCAUCUCCCCAGUCCUCCAUGCUGGAAACCUCUUCUGUAUCCUGCUCCUCACCGGCUACGUCCACUGGCACUAGGGCAUUCAUUCACUUGCUCACUCACUCAUUCAGUCACAUUUUUGAGUGCCCUGAUCUAGGAUCUACUGAUACAGGCAGGCCCCUGUGCUGCGUCUCUGCCAUGUCAGUAGUGAGAGACGGAUCGAGUUACCAGGACACGCAGUGACUUCAGACAGGGUGACGGGAUAGAGGGUUGGGCAGCCGCUCCUUUAAAUCACAAGGUCAGGAACUGGCUCUCUUGUGCGGGGACACUGACGUUAAAAAUGGAACGAGGAGCAAAAGGAAAAGGAAAGCAUUUCAAGCUGAGAAAACAAGUACCAAGGUCCUGAGGUUGGAUGAAAGGAAGGAGGGACUUGGCUGAGUCCUGAUCUGGUCUCCACUCGCCUGGUCUGCUGUUCUGCCGCCCAGCUUCAAACCCUUCCCACCCUGCUGCCAGCGCCCCAUCACUGCAACAAGCCUCAUCUCACUCUGCCCCUCCGAGAAGCCUGCAGGGACUCCCCUUUUCUAGGUUAAAGUCACACUUUUCGUGGCCUCCAGGACCUUUCGAGGUCUGGUCCUGCUUGCUCUGCAGCUGAGCCAGGCACCGUUUAGGUCCCUGGCUCUGUACCCAGACUCGGGCUUGACCUCCAGCCACCUUCGAGCUGCAAACCCUCUGGUCACCUGCUUGUCCUGGAUCCUGCCUCAGACAUGACUCAUGCUCUGGCAGGGAGCUUCCGCUGUGACACCUCCUUUCUAAUUUGGGCUC
This is a long non-coding RNA of Bos taurus (domestic cattle), 1236 nucleotides long. NCBI's taxonomy places the organism in Eukaryota, Metazoa, Chordata, Mammalia, Artiodactyla, Bovidae. The record is from Ensembl.